GCGGUCCGGAGAAGGUAUGGCCCCACUGCUGGGGCAAGGGCUCUAGGCGCCCGGACCCCACGCCCGCAGCCUGCGGAGAACGUGCCGACAAGGACCUAGAGGGCCCCGCUCUCCCUCCUCCCUCCCUCGGCGCAGCCCGGCCCAGGGGUCUGUCCUCCCAGGCCCGGGAAAGGAGGAAACCCACUUCCGCCGCGUCCAUGAUCUCCCGCGGCUUCUCCUGACUCUUGCGGCUGGCGCUGGCGCUGGGCAUCGGGACACGGAACUGGGCAGUGGACACCACCCUCCCUCGCAGGCUUCCAAAGUAAUUUGAAGGCUUUCCCUGACUUAAAGUGGAUGCUGCUUUGGAAAGCACCGGAAAAAUGGAUCCUGUCUUUCUCAGCCAAGGACUGGUCUCUUUUCUCCAGUAUGUUCCUAACAGAGUGGGAGUCUGGCUGUUCCACCAGUACAGGAAGAUCAUUCCUUAAAAGAAAUAGCCAUAUGGCUUAUAAGGGACUAUAUCUUAGGACUGUGUGUCUUCUGCAGUUCUUUGCAUAGAGUCAAUGUUGAAGGACAAGCAACUUCAAAUUUCCAAGCAACAAAAUUAUGUUCGGGUGGUUUUCUGAAAGCGAGAUCUUAAGAACCACCCGUAUCAGAAUCCCAUGAAGAGCUUGUUUAGUGUGCAAAUUUCCAGAUUGUCCCCCCUCAGAAAUGCUCAUUCAGGAGUUCAUGUCCUUUGCAGGGAUGUGGAUGAAGCUGGAAACCAUCAUCCUCAGCAAACUAACACAGG
This 766-nucleotide non-coding RNA is filed under the name Pongo abelii (Sumatran orangutan). The record is from RNAcentral. Lineage: Eukaryota; Metazoa; Chordata; Mammalia; Primates; Hominidae.